Molecule: long non-coding RNA, 902 nt
Organism: Biomphalaria glabrata
Lineage: Eukaryota; Metazoa; Mollusca; Gastropoda; Planorbidae
Exons: 3
Source: RefSeq, a predicted model, not a curated record
AAGGACAGACUAAACAAGGUGACUGAGAGAUAAAGUGCUUGACUUUCAAACAAGGACAGACUAAACAAGGUGACUGAGAGAUAAAGUGCUUGACUUUCAAACAAGAACAGACUAAACAAGGUGACAGAGAUAAAGUGCUUGACUUUCAAACAAGGACAGACUAAACAAGGUGACUGAGAGAUAAAGUGCUUGACUUUCAAACAAGGACAGACUAAACAAGGUGACUGAGAGAUAAAGUGCUUGACUUUCAAACAAGGACAGACUAAACAAGGUGACUGAGAGAUAAAGUGCUUGACUUUCAAACAAGGACAGACUAAACAAGGUGACUGAGAGAUAAAGUGCUUGACUUUCAAACAAGGACAGACUAAACAAGGUGACUGAGAGAUAAAGUGCUUGACUUUCAAACAAGGACAGACUAAACAAGGUGACUGAGAGAUAAAGUGCUUGACUUUCAAACAAGGACAGACUAAACAAGGUGACUGAGAGAUAAAGUGCUUGACUUUCAAACAAGGACAGACUAAACAAGGUGACUGAGAGAUAAAGUGCUUGACUUUUAAACAAGGACAGACUAAACAAGGUGACUGAGAGAUAAAGUGCUUGACUUUCAAACAAGGACAGACUAAACAAGGUGACUGAGAGAUAAAGUGCUUGACUUUCAAACAAGGACAGACUAAACAAGGUGACUGAGAGAUAAAGUGCUUGACUUUCAAACAAGGACAGACUAAACAAGGUGACUGAGAGAUAAAGUGCUUGACUUUCAAACAAGGACAGACUAAACAAGGUGACUGAGAGAUAAAGUGCUUGACUUUCAAACAAGGACAGACUAAACAAGGUGACUGAGAGAUAAAGUGCUUGACUUUCAAACAAGGACAGACUAAACAAGGUGACUGAGAGAUAAAGUG